GGGAUCUUCACCUCCAACAGCAAAUGGUUCCGGGCUUGGCAUGCCAAUGUAUUGGCAAGGUUUUUAUCCACCUUCUGGUGGUAUGCCCGGUGGAUUACCUGGUGGUAUGCCUGGUGGAUUACCUGGUGGUAUGCCCGGUGGAUUACCUGGUGGUAUGCCUGGCGGAUUGCCCGGUGGGAUUUCUCAUUUGCAGCCACCACCCCUUUUACGCCCACCACCUGGUCUGUCAAUGCCAUAUUCCAUGCAGCAGCCUUUUCAAUAUCCUGGAAUUAAUGCUUCUUUGCCUUCUGUACCUCAGAAUAUAUCUGGAUCAAAU
This 316-nucleotide long non-coding RNA is filed under the name Zostera marina. Its description in RNAcentral is "long non-coding RNA (ZMAR_LNC001070)". Lineage: Eukaryota; Viridiplantae; Streptophyta; Magnoliopsida; Alismatales; Zosteraceae. The record is from RNAcentral.